RNAcentral lists this ribosomal RNA (451 nucleotides) under uncultured bacterium. RNAcentral describes it as "partial 16S ribosomal RNA". It matches the Rfam family "Bacterial small subunit ribosomal RNA", at positions 354 to 796 of the family's 1533-position model. The record is from RNAcentral.
GUGGGGAAUAUUGGACAAUGGGCGGAAGCCUGAUCCAGCCAUGCCGCGUGUGUGAAGAAGGCCUUUUGGUUGUAAAGCACUUUAAGCGAGGAGGAGGCUCCUUUAGUUAAUACCUAAAGAGAGUGGACGUUACUCGCAGAAUAAGCACCGGCUAACUCUGUGCCAGCAGCCGCGGUAAUACAGAGGGUGCGAGCGUUAAUCGGAUUUACUGGGCGUAAAGCGUGCGUAGGCGGCUUUUUAAGUCGGAUGUGAAAUCCCUGAGCUUAACUUAGGAAUUGCAUUCGAUACUGGAAAGCUAGAGUAUGGGAGAGGAUGGUAGAAUUCCAGGUGUAGCGGUGAAAUGCGUAGAGAUCUGGAGGAAUACCGAUGGCGAAGGCAGCCAUCUGGCCUAAUACUGACACUGAGGUGCGAAAGCAUGGGGAGCAAACAGGAUUAGAAACCCGUGUAGUCC